This 469-nucleotide ribosomal RNA is filed under the name uncultured bacterium. RNAcentral's name for it is "partial 16S ribosomal RNA". It matches the Rfam family "Bacterial small subunit ribosomal RNA", at positions 28 to 507 of the family's 1533-position model. The record is from RNAcentral.
GACGAACGCUGGCGGCGUGCUUAACACAUGCAAGUCGAACGGAAAGGCCCUGCUUGCAGGGUGCUCGAGUGGCGAACGGGUGAGUAACACGUGGGUGAUCUGCCCCUUACUUUGGGAUAAGCCUGGGAAACUGGGUCUAAUACUGGAUAGGACCAUGCUGUAGGUGGUGUGGUGGAAAGAUUAGUUUCGGUAAGGGAUGAGCUCGCGGCCUAUCAGCUUGUUGGUGGGGUAAUGGCCUACCAAGGCGUCGACGGGUAGCCGGCCAGAGAGGGUGGACGGCCACAUUGGGACUGAGAUACGGCCCAGAAUCCUACGGGAGGCAGCAGUGGGGAAUAUUGCACAAUGGGAGCAAGCCUGAUGCAGCGACGCCGCGUGGGGGAUGACGGCCUUCGGGUUGUAAACUCCUUUCGGCCAUGACGAAGCCCUUGUGGUGACGGUAGUGGUAGAAGAAGCACCGGCUAACUACGUG